This is a non-coding RNA of Phoenix dactylifera (date palm), 1350 nucleotides long. Lineage: Eukaryota; Viridiplantae; Streptophyta; Magnoliopsida; Arecales; Arecaceae. The record is from RefSeq and is a predicted model, not a curated record.
AAAUAAUAAUGGGCUUUUCUUUAUUUCUUUAUUUUCCCCUACAGAGUAUUGAGCUCGGAAGAGAAAAGGGAAGACGAAGCCAUAGCGAGAGUGCCCCUCUCUCUUCUUUCUCUCUCUCUUUCUCUGAGUUCUCUCGGUCGUGAGUUUCGAUCCGGCGCUCGGGAAAUCGCUCUUUGAUGCUGAAUUGUUGUCGAGAAUGCUCGAUCCGUUGCGUUUUGCGGCGUUUGGAGAUGGAGAUCUGGGGCAUCUAGGUCUAAGAUGAGGUCUCUGUUUAGCGUGGAGCUAGGCCUGAGGUUCUUCGGAGCUCGUGGUUCGGAUUUUAAUAGAGAGAGAUGGUUUGGCGGUCGGAGGCUCUGUUUUGUAGCUCCUGGUGGAGGUUUGGAGAGGCUAAGUUUCGGAGUCCAGUGGCUUGUGGGGGGUGAAGCUCCUUGUAGUGCUUUUUUUGCACUAAAGUAUCAUUUUGAACUGGUUAGGGGAGUUUCUGAGGUGAGAUCUGGAGGUUUGAUGUUUCUUUGGUGCUUCUGGUCAAAUGCAUGGGCUUCCCUUCGAGCUUGGGUGAUGCAAGCUGGGAUUUUUUGAGGUUGUGAAGGGCUGAACUGGUUGAAAGCUUGAUUUUUGCUGAGUGGUUUGGAGCUUUGGAGGGAGAUUUCUUCGCCGCUUUGGGUUUUUGUCGUGAUUGCUUGCUUGAUUACUUGGCUGAGUGCGAAGGAUUUGGUUGGAGUUUUCUGUUCGGAGCUUUGAAACCCAUCUGCUCCACAAUAUCGGGGCGAGUCCAUCCAGUUCUGCUUCCAGAGUCAGAGAUUUGGUGCGUAAAUUCUUUUGGUUUGAGCUGGAUUUUAGAGUUUUAUGUGCUGCACCUUUCCUCCUAGUUAAGACGACGGAUUGGAAACUUUAGGGCUUCAAAGUUGAAGAUUGGACCUGAUGAGAGUGGAAGCGAGCGUUCUUGCAGUGGGCCUGGCUUCGGAUGAAGUGCUUGGCGGGUUUCCAAGGGGCUUGUGUCACCAAAUGGUGUUUUUGAUGCCAUCUAUUGGUUCUCUUAUAUUUUGUGUGGUCAUUAGCUGGGUGGAAAGGCAAAAUCAUCCCAUUGGGAGUGAAGAAAUCAAAAUUUUCAAUAUAAUUACCUUCUAAGGGGAAUUUUAUGGGAGGUAUGACAAACAGCUAAUCGAGCGAAACCAAACAAAUAUGACUUCAUCAUCACACGGGUGUCUUUCCUUGAAGAUUUCAUUUGUUUGUUGAAGAUAGGGGGAGGUCGUGGUGCUCAGAAGUGUUUCAUUAUUCGGUGAACCUAUUCAUAGUUUCAGGAUGAGGCUCUCAACAUCGGGGACUUCCGCAGCAGACACAGGAAGGUGA